RNAcentral lists this ribosomal RNA (477 nucleotides) under uncultured Oceanospirillaceae bacterium. RNAcentral describes it as "bacterial SSU rRNA". It matches the Rfam family "Bacterial small subunit ribosomal RNA", at positions 97 to 570 of the family's 1533-position model. Lineage: Bacteria; Pseudomonadati; Pseudomonadota; Gammaproteobacteria; Oceanospirillales; Oceanospirillaceae. The record is from RNAcentral.
GGCGGACGGGUGAGUAACGCGUAGGAAUCUACCUAAUGGUGGGGGAUAGCCCAGGGAAACUUGGAUUAAUACCGCAUAAGUCCUAGGGGAGAAAGCGGGGGAUCUUCGGACCUCGUGCCAUUAGAUGAGCCUGCGUAGGAUUAGCUAGUUGGUGAGGUAAGAGCUCACCAAGGCGACGAUCUUUAGCUGGUCUGAGAGGAUGAUCAGCCACACUGGGACUGAGACACGGCCCAGACUCCUACGGGAGGCAGCAGUGGGGAAUAUUGGACAAUGGGGGCAACCCUGAUCCAGCCAUGCCGCGUGUGUGAAGAAGGCCUUCGGGUUGUAAAGCACUUUCAGAUGUGAGGAAAGGUUGCGGAUUAAUACUCUGUAGCUGUGACGUUAACAUCAGAAGAAGGACCGGCUAACUCCGUGCCAGCAGCCGCGGUAAUACGGAGGGUCCGAGCGUUAAUCGGAAUUACUGGGCGUAAAGCGCGC